GACGAACGCUGGCGGCGUGCUUAACACAUGCAAGUCGAACGAAGAGCGAUGGAAGCUUGCUUCUAUCAAUCUUAGUGGCGAACGGGUGAGUAACGCGUAAUCAACCUGCCCUUCAGAGGGGGACAACAGUUGGAAACGACUGCUAAUACCGCAUACGAUCUAAUCUCGGCAUCGAGGAAAGAUGAAAGGUGGCCUCUAUUUAUAAGCUAUCACUGAAGGAGGGGAUUGCGUCUGAUUAGCUAGUUGGAGGGGUAACGGCCCACCAAGGCGAUGAUCAGUAGCCGGUCUGAGAGGAUGAACGGCCACAUUGGGACUGAGACACGGCCCAGACUCCUACGGGAGGCAGCAGUGGGGAAUCUUCCGCAAUGGACGAAAGUCUGACGGAGCAACGCCGCGUGGGUGAUGACGGCCUUCGGGUUGUAAAGCUCUGUUAAUCGGGACGAAAGGCCUUCUUGCGAACAGUUAGAAGGAUUGACGGUACCGGAAGAGAAAGCCACGGCUAACUACGUG
Molecule: ribosomal RNA, 510 nt
Filed under: uncultured bacterium
Lineage: Bacteria
Description: partial 16S ribosomal RNA
Rfam family: Bacterial small subunit ribosomal RNA
Source: RNAcentral